This 426-nucleotide ribosomal RNA is filed under the name uncultured bacterium. RNAcentral's name for it is "bacterial SSU rRNA". It matches the Rfam family "Bacterial small subunit ribosomal RNA", at positions 354 to 796 of the family's 1533-position model. The record is from RNAcentral.
GUGAGGAAUUUUCCGCAAUGGGCGAAAGCCUGACGGAGCAAUGCCGCGUGAAGGAUGAAGGCCUAUGGGUUGUAAACUUCUUUUCUCAGAAAAGAAUUAUGACGGUAUCUGAGGAAUAAGCAUCGGCUAACUCUGUGCCAGCAGCCGCGGUAAGACAGAGGAUGCAAGCGUUAUCCGGAAUGAUUGGGCGUAAAGCGUCUGUAGGUUGUUUAAAAAGUAUUCUGUCAAAGAUUAGGGCUUAACCCUAGAUAGGCAGAAUAAACUUUUAAGCUAGAGUUUGGUAGAGGCGGAGGGAAUUCCCGGUGGAGCGGUGAAAUGCGUAGAUAUCGGGAGGAACACCAAAGGCGAAGGCACUCUGCUGGGCCAAUACUAACACUGAGAGACGAAAGCGAGGGGAGCAAAUGGGAUUAGAUACCCCGGUAGUCC